GAGCCAGCAGCAAAUAUUGUGUUGUUGGAUUUUAUUUCAUCCCAGAAGUGGCAGGAUGUGGUAGAUUUUGAUGAUCACCUUGAUGACAUUACCAAGGACUGGCUCAAUCCAGAUCUCUUCAAGUAGUCCGGCCCUUGGAUGUGUCAGUGGUUGCUGUUGCUUCAGGGGCAUCUCGUUAACCUUGAUGUACGACGCAGGAACUUGAGGGAGCAGACAUGGAUAGGCAGUAGGCUUUGUGGUUUCUUUUUCAUGGCGAAAUUUUGUAGUAAUGUUAAAUUUUUAAGGUUCUCAGACAAGCAACUCAAUGUCUUCUUUUGAGGAAACACCUUUAUUGAAAUUAUGACUUUAAAAGUGAAAUGACAUGCCAUGUUCAAAUAUAAUUUUCUUUGUGUAAUGUUAAGCAUGGAUAAUUUCUACCAAUGUAAUAAUUAAGAAGAAGCGAAGGAAAU
Molecule: unclassified non-coding RNA, 449 nt
Filed under: Hevea brasiliensis (rubber tree)
Lineage: Eukaryota; Viridiplantae; Streptophyta; Magnoliopsida; Malpighiales; Euphorbiaceae
Source: RNAcentral